GAUGAACGCUGGCGGCGUGCCUAAUACAUGCAAGUCGAGCGAACAGACGAGGAGCUUGCUCCUCUGACGUUAGCGGCGGACGGGUGAGUAACACGUGGAUAACCUACCUAUAAGACUGGGAUAACUUCGGGAAACCGGAGCUAAUACCGGAUAAUAUAUUGAACCGCAUGGUUCAAUAGUGAAAGACGGUUUUGCUGUCACUUAUAGAUGGAUCCGCGCCGCAUUAGCUAGUUGGUAAGGUAACGGCUUACCAAGGCAACGAUGCGUAGCCGACCUGAGAGGGUGAUCGGCCACACUGGAACUGGGACACGGUCCAGACUCCUACGGGAGGCAGCAGUAGGGAAUCUUCCGCAAUGGGCGAAAGCCUGACGGAGCAACGCGGCGUGAGUGAUGAAGGUCUUCGGAUCGUAAAACUCUGUUAUUAGGGAAGAACAAAUGUGUAAGUAACUAUGCACGUCUUGACGGUACCUAAUCAGAAAGCCACGGCUAACUACGUG
RNAcentral lists this ribosomal RNA (497 nucleotides) under uncultured bacterium. Its description in RNAcentral is "partial 16S ribosomal RNA". It matches the Rfam family "Bacterial small subunit ribosomal RNA", at positions 28 to 507 of the family's 1533-position model. The record is from RNAcentral.